CAACAUUGGUGGUCCUAUAGUGAAUCUAAAUUUUCAUAAUCGGAUGCAAUCACCAUAUAUCAUGCCGCCGGGGAUUAUGAGUGGUUUUUCCCCGUUCACUAGUCAGAUGUUGGAGUACCAUGAUAGAUCUCGGGGAACCAUUUUGAGUCGGG
Molecule: long non-coding RNA, 152 nt
Organism: Rhodamnia argentea
Lineage: Eukaryota; Viridiplantae; Streptophyta; Magnoliopsida; Myrtales; Myrtaceae
Exons: 3
Source: RefSeq, a predicted model, not a curated record